Long non-coding RNA from Manis javanica (Malayan pangolin), 520 nucleotides. RefSeq lists it as uncharacterized. The record is from RefSeq and is a predicted model, not a curated record. Lineage: Eukaryota; Metazoa; Chordata; Mammalia; Pholidota; Manidae.
GGAGCGGCCGGGCCAUCGGCCGGGCCCUCCAUUGGGCGAGCCACGCUGAGGGAUCCUUCUUCGAGCCUAUCAAAGGUGCGAAUCUGAAGCCGGGGAGGCGGUAUUUCCAAGCGGACCGGCUUUGGAGGUCACAGCUCCGCGGGGUGCGGGCUAGUGGCCCAAAGAGCUGCGAGGCCAGGGUCUUCCAUUUGCCGGUGUGAACUCAGGUGCCCCGGUCCCUUGAGGCCAUCCCUGACUCUUCGCGCUCGGAGAACCGAAUUUCGCAGAGCUCAUCACUGAGGAUAUUUUGCCGGGAAUUAAGUCCUUCCUUCUGUUACUCAGUAGUCGAUUGAGGGGAAGAACAAAAAAUCACAUUGUGCCCUGACAAGAUACGUUACUGUUGCUAAAAUUGUCAACUAUAAUGCUUUGUGAGUAAUGUACUUCCUGCAAACCUAGAAAUUUCAGAUUUGAAGAAAAUGAACUAAGAUACGAUAUGAAGAAGAACUUCCAACAUCAGCACUCUCUGGAAGAGUCAUACCAG